Amblyraja radiata (thorny skate) is the source of this 485-nucleotide long non-coding RNA. RefSeq lists it as uncharacterized. NCBI's taxonomy places the organism in Eukaryota, Metazoa, Chordata, Chondrichthyes, Rajiformes, Rajidae. The transcript has 3 exons. The record is from RefSeq and is a predicted model, not a curated record.
GAUGCCUAUCGCGUCUUAAUGCGAUUACAAGUUCAUCUCUUCACCCAGCGAAAUGACCAACGUCGGCUCUUUUGUAGUCUAUUGGCCCUGGUGCGUAAACUCGCAGACGAAUUAGGUUGAUCUGAUUUCCAUGUUCCAGUGAACAAAGUCGACCUGUCCGCAGUUGGAGCAGCAGAGUUGUGGUCUAAGUACCAAAUGAGUGCAAAUGAGCUCGAAUCUGAACUGUGCCCGUGGAAAGAAAUUCUUAUUAAAGUCAUAAAGGCAGCGCGUAAUGGGCACACCAAGAGACAUAAACAGAUCUCGAGGAGGAAUGUGGUAUCACAACCCCCGGCAACUCAUUGGGAACCAAGGAGGCGAAUUACUCGGGCUCACAGAUAGUUUCAAAUAAAUAAUUAAAACAACUGGAAGUUUAAUUAUUAAUUUCAGCUUCAGAAAUCGAGUGAGCAACAUGAAUUAGCAUCGUAAUAAAUGACUCGUGGAUCCGA